Molecule: long non-coding RNA, 250 nt
Filed under: Elaeis guineensis (African oil palm)
Lineage: Eukaryota; Viridiplantae; Streptophyta; Magnoliopsida; Arecales; Arecaceae
Description: long non-coding RNA (EGUI_LNC008609)
Source: RNAcentral
GCCCGAACCCCCAUUGAUGGAGUCGUUGAUGGUUCUACCAUGGUAUUUUCGUCUCUUGUCGUCCUGACUCCAACAGAUGGCAUUUCAAUCGGAGGAAGCAUUGUUAGAGCUGAUAAUGCUAUAAUCGACUCAGGAACUAUCACCGACGGAAAAUCGGGUUCCCUUGCUAGUACUGACUGAAAAUCAACCUGACUUUUUCUUGAUGGUCGGGAGGAGCCAGCAUCAGUCGCUGCCCUCUUCUUGGCAGCAU